RNAcentral lists this ribosomal RNA (468 nucleotides) under uncultured bacterium. Its description in RNAcentral is "partial 16S ribosomal RNA". It matches the Rfam family "Bacterial small subunit ribosomal RNA", at positions 28 to 507 of the family's 1533-position model. The record is from RNAcentral.
GACGAACGCUGGCGGCGUGCUUAACACAUGCAAGUCGAACGGAAAGGCCCUGCUUUUGUGGGGUGCUCGAGUGGCGAACGGGUGAGUAACACGUGAGUAACCUGCCCUUGACUUUGGGAUAACUUCAGGAAACUGGGGCUAAUACCGGAUAGGAGCUCCUGCUGCAUGGUGGGGGUUGGUAAGUUUCGGCGGUUGGGGAUGGACUCGCGGCUUAUCAGCUUGUUGGUGGGGUAGUGGCUUACCAAGGCUUUGACGGGUAGCCGGCCUGAGAGGGUGACCGGCCAAAUUGGGACUGGAAUACGGCCCAGACUCCUACGGGAGGCAGCAGUGGGGAAUAUUGCACAAUGGGCGGAAGCCUGAUGCAGCAACGCCGCGUGCGGGAUGACGGCCUUCGGGUUGUAAACCGCUUUCGCCUGUGACGAAGCGUGAGUGACGGUAAUGGGUAAAGAAGCACCGGCUAACUACGUG